CUUCCUGGGGGGAGGGGAGAACAAUACCGCCCGAAAAGCCAGAAGGGGGACUGGGGGGCGGGGAUACUUGGGCCGGGCGAAGCGUGUUCGUGGAAGGUAAAGUCCCAGGUAGUGGUGGUGGGCAUCUCGUCCGUUUAGUCGAUCGAUCCGCAGACGUCCCGCCUGCGACCUGCACGCUGCAGCGCGGAAGCAGGAAACGCCCACCGUCGGGAGACGCACCCCGGUCGCGCGGCCUGGCCGGCCGGCGUCCCACCCAAACCUCUCCUGGUGUCCCUGCGCGCCGUUCGCGGUCCGCGGCUCGGGCCCCGCGCGCCUCAGCGGCUCUUGGCGGGGUCGGACGCGGGCCGCGCGGGGCCUCCUGGCCUGGCACCGCCCCCCACCCCCAGCCCAGCCCCGGCCGCCGCACGCUGUCCAACGCGGCGAGCUCCGUAGGAGCCACAGCCCAUUCCUGAUAAGGAAACAGAUUGUGAGAAGCAGUGUGUCCACCAGCUGAGAGGACCAGAACCCAGGCAGCCUGACGCCAGAGGCCACCCUGGAAGCCUCUCUGUGCACUGUCCUGUGGAGGCAGGAGCUGACUUUGGUCCGGGGACCCUCCAGGCUCGCCUCGUAUCACAUUAAGAAGACAGGGAGGGGCCUUCCUUCAUCCCUGCUGUUGUGUCAACUACAAUAAACCGAAACCCUGGUUAAACAUGGUAACUGUCA
This is a long non-coding RNA of Manis javanica (Malayan pangolin), 702 nucleotides long. RefSeq lists it as uncharacterized. The record is from RefSeq and is a predicted model, not a curated record. Lineage: Eukaryota; Metazoa; Chordata; Mammalia; Pholidota; Manidae.